Molecule: ribosomal RNA, 253 nt
Filed under: uncultured bacterium
Lineage: Bacteria
Description: partial 16S ribosomal RNA
Rfam family: Bacterial small subunit ribosomal RNA
Source: RNAcentral
UACGUAGGGGGCAAGCGUUGUUCGGAAUUACUGGGCGUAAAGGGCGCGUAGGCGGCACAGCAAGUCGGGCGUGAAAGCCCGGGGCUCAACCCCGGAAUGGCUUUCGAAACUGCUGAGCUAGAGUACAGAAGGGGCAACCGGAAUUCCCAGUGUAGCGGUGAAAUGCGUAGAUAUUGGGAAGAACACCUGAGGCGAAGGCGGGUUGCUGGGCUGAUACUGACGCUGAGGCGCGAAAGCCAGGGGAGCAAACUGG